This is a long non-coding RNA of Clupea harengus (Atlantic herring), 2495 nucleotides long. NCBI's taxonomy places the organism in Eukaryota, Metazoa, Chordata, Actinopteri, Clupeiformes, Clupeidae. The record is from Ensembl.
CUAAUCUAAUCCCCUCACAAGGGCGUCUACCCUGUUCUACCCCUCGUCUUCAUCUUCGUGCUCUUUUUCUUUUUCCUUUUUCACUGUUGUUCAUCUUUCGCUCUCAGGUGUGUAUCCUUUUCCAAACUCUAACCCAAUAAUAUUUUCUCCUGGGUUCAUUGUAUUCCUCUGUCCCUGUCCCUUUCUCUCCAUCUCCGUGGGGAUCAAAGAAGUAGCCGAGCGAGAGGUCAGAGUUCAUUAGUGGAAACUGAUCACUCGGCGGAGGGACGGGGGGAUUGGGGGCAGAAGGAAAGAAAAACACCACCCCAAAAAAUGUUUUCUAGUCCAGUAGACGGCCUGUUCUAGCAGCAGUAGAAGGUAUAUGUAUAUAUAUAUAUGUAUAAGGGUGUAUAUAGGUGUAUAUGUAUAUAUAUACAGUAUGUAGAAGGGUGUAUAUAGAUAUGUAUAUGUAUACGUCCUAAUAGCAGAGACCAUGAGUCGGUUCCAUCAAAUAAAGAAAGUGAAGUCUCUCUCCUCACUUUUACUCUUGUUUUUGUUUUGUCUUCCGAUGGUCAUGAUUUGAGGAAAAACAAUCUCCGUCAGAAUACUUCUCCAAGAGAGCGCUACUCGUUCUAUAGUGAGGGUCCCCCGGAAUGUUCUUCUCGCGCUGGAAAAAAACGCAAUUCAUUUUUUUUUUCCAAAUAUGAAGCCAUUUUAUGCAGUCCAAACGCGAGUGCUAUUUUAGACCUCUCUCUCGUUGGCGUUGCAUUUCAUAGACUUUUUGCAACGUGUCAUUAAUGGCGGCCUGACCCGACUGAACAAGGGGGCCGAGUGAACUGUGUUUGCGUAGAGUGUGUGUGUGUCCCGUGUUUGUGUAGAGUGUGUGUCCUGUGUUUGCGUAGAGUGGAGUGUGUGUCCUGUGUUUUGUGAGAGAGGGCUAUGGAAAUGACAAGGAUUAGCUGCCCAUGAACGAGUUCUAGAGAACUGGAGGUGAUCAGUGAGCUUCACUCUCUUUUGUCCCGACCGUACGGGCCCCGACUCGGGGGUCACUGGGUUUGAACUCUUCCUCUGUGACUCUGGAUAAUCCACCAGAAGGAAAUGAGCGAUUGUGGGUGGAUAUUUUACCGGACAAUGAACAUCACUGUGUCCCGAGAAUUCAUUUUACACCACAUUCAUUAUCAUUUUUUUAAUUUUUUUUAUCGAGCGAUAUGAUGUUGUGGCUUUUGUCUGCGGAUCCUCUUUUGUGGGUGUCGUAGGUCAGGGCUCUUUACCACACACCGCUGCGCUCCUCCCAUCCACACAGGGGCGCUGUUCUUAAUCCCGGGGGGGGCCUCUCUCCCCCCAACCCAGAACUGUCACUCAUACCCAAGCCCCUCACUAUCAAAGCAGCCAGACAAUGGCUUGUCUUUCCUUCAGUAAGCACAAAGAUGAGUGUAGGAGAGAAGCUUGCAACACAAAAGAUAGCUAGCCGCUUUUCUCUAAAGCAGCAAAGAUGCUUCGCAUGGCCUGACUCCAAGAAUCUCCAAGGGGACCGUGUGUCUGUCACCCCAUGUAAGACUGAACGUUCAUUGGCUGCCCACAUUCUUCGGGGCUGUUGUCUAGACAGUAAGGCUGAAGAAUGGAAUAAAUGCUAUUGUUUAAUUAUAUCACUUAACAAUUUUUUAGAUCGUGUGUAGUACCCCGGUAACCUUUGACCCCAGAGGAGGCUCUUUGUCUCAGAUUGCGUCUCGGAAAUCUCAUUUCUAUUCAUGUUUCCCUUUUUUUCUUCCCUCUGAGGCGAGGGUAGCGAGGGUGUUCUUAGCCUUAAACUGUGUCGUAACGUCAUGUCCUCGGCCUUCGCUUGAAAUCUGACAAGAGUAACAACCCGUGCUGGUGGGAAAAACUGGAAACUGUGACCACUUGAGACUGUCGGUUUUCCAAGACACCUUUUUCCUUUUUCCAAGGAUAAGUCUGCCCGACAUUUUUCCAUAUUUUUUUUGAAUGUCGACAGUUUUUUUUUUUUGCCUCGUUUUAAAAGUGUGACUAAAAUGUGCCUCUUUGUGUUCGAUAUUUACUUAUUUAAUAAUAUACUUUGUGAAAAAUAUGUAUUUUUGUUUUUUUUUGCUGAAACAAAGAUGCAGGUCUAGACGCUGUUGUUGGCGUGUGGAGAAGCUCUGCGGAGCUUUUUGUUGAGUGUGCGACCGUCAGGUCUCGUCAGAGAGAAUGGGAAUAGACAUCACUACGACGUCAGCAAUUAGCAAUUACCAGCAGGCCUGGAUACUCAUUGUCUUGUAACCGAUUGUUAGCCUGUUAAUCUUGUUUUUUUUGUCAAGGAAUUCUGUUUUGUUCCCUUUAAAAAUAAUCUGAUGUUGUAAUGUUUUCCAAAAUCAUUGUACUGUAGUAUUGACCAAAAAAAACAUCGGGGCUGUUUAAUCACAUCUCGUGUUUCAGUUCGGUUAUUUAAAAACAGGAGCGCAGCGAUGGAAUACAAAAGAAAAUCCUUUUCACAAUGUAGCCAUUCUGAAACAAAAACACAC